RNAcentral lists this ribosomal RNA (253 nucleotides) under uncultured bacterium. RNAcentral describes it as "partial 16S ribosomal RNA". It matches the Rfam family "Bacterial small subunit ribosomal RNA", at positions 524 to 776 of the family's 1533-position model. The record is from RNAcentral.
UACGUAGGGUGCGAGCGUUAAUCGGUAUUAUUGGGCGUAAAGCGUGCGCAGGCGGUUUUAUAAGACAGAUGUGAAAUCCCCGGGCUUAGCCUGGGAACUGCGUUUGUGACUGUAAGACUGGAGUGUGGCAGAGGGGGGUGGAAUUCCACGUGUAGCAGUGAAAUGCGUAGAUAUGUGGAGGAACAUCGAUGGCGAAGGCAGCCCCCUGGGUUAACACUGACGCUCAUGCACGAAAGCGUGGGGAGCAAACAGG